GUGACCCUUCUCACCAGGUAAAUCAAUGUGCAUGCUUCCCUUUUCUCACCCAUCAUCACCUCUUCGGGGAAUGUCGCAGUUAAAUCUGUCUCCACCUGCAGCCUAUGGCCCAGCACCUGCUCUGCAUCUGACUUUCAUCUGUAGCUCAGUCCAUAGGGGAUUUGACCUGAGGACCGCAGGGUGGCCUCUUCAGGACUCGCUGGGACCAGUCAAUAUGGAGCGUGGUGUGGUUUAAUCACUUUGGUGAUCCCCUGGUCUUUCACCGGUCUUUGUCAUCAGGUUAAAAUUUCAAUUUGUCAAGUUUAUCACACUGUAGCACUAUCGACAUUGUCACCCUUUGAAUAGUCUCACUUGGUGGAUGUAAAUUGCGGAUGAAGCCUGCUGUUUGGCGCCCUUCGAUUCACAAGGCGGUCCUUUUCCUCUGACUCAGGCACAGGGUAGGAAGCUCAAACAUCGUACAGCUGUGUUGUGGUUGCAAAUUAUAUAAAUAUAGUGAAUCAGUCAAAUACUUAUUAUUUUACCAAUUACGGAAUGUUCACUAGGAAAUUGAUAGUAAAAAUCCAGACCAAAAUCUAAGGAAAAACAACACAUUUGGUAAUUUAGCUACUAAUGACUGACAGCUAACGUUAGCGUGUCAUCCAACAUGGCAGGAAAGGUGGAUUUGUUAAAAUCUGAAAGCAAAACUCUGCAAAAAGGAUCUGCAGAGCUUUGUCAAUUUCCUCUUGUUUCCCCUGUUUUUUUUUUUGUUUUUUGUUUUUUGCCUCCCUUUUUGUUGUAUGUUUGUCUCCCUCUGUCUGUCAGUGUUUUGUCUCAGUCUGGGAGUGGCUGACUUACAUUCUGGUCGUCAGCCAGACUCCUCUCACCUGCUGCUCCACACACCUGAAGUCCAUCUACACUGUUCACCAGUUGCCUGUUUUAAGACGG
Acanthopagrus latus (yellowfin seabream) is the source of this 924-nucleotide long non-coding RNA. RefSeq lists it as uncharacterized. The record is from RefSeq and is a predicted model, not a curated record. The transcript has 3 exons. Lineage: Eukaryota; Metazoa; Chordata; Actinopteri; Spariformes; Sparidae.